This 429-nucleotide ribosomal RNA is filed under the name uncultured bacterium. Its description in RNAcentral is "bacterial SSU rRNA". It matches the Rfam family "Bacterial small subunit ribosomal RNA", at positions 355 to 776 of the family's 1533-position model. The record is from RNAcentral.
UGGGGAAUUUUGCGCAAUGGGCGAAAGCCUGACGCAGCGACGCCGCGUGUGCGAUGAAGGCCCUCGGGUCGUAAAGCACUGUCAAGUGGGACGAAAACCCGGUUGUUAAUACCAGCCGGGCUUGACGGUACCGCUAAAGGAAGCACCGGCUAACUCUGUGCCAGCAGCCGCGGUAAUACAGAGGGUGCAAACGUUGCUCGGAAUUACUGGGCGUAAAGCGCGUGUAGGCGGUUUAGAAAGUCAGCUGUGAAAGCCCUCGGCUCAACCGAGGAAGUGCAGCUGAAACUGCUAGACUAGAAUAUCGAAGAGGAAGGUGGAAUGCGCAGUGUAGAGGUGAAAUUCGUAGAUAUUGCGUAGAACAUCGGUGGCGAAGGCGACCUUCUGGGAGAUUAUUGACGCUGAGACGCGAAAGCGUGGGGAGCAAACAGG